GACGAACGCUGGCGGCGUGCCUAAUACAUGCAAGUCGAACGCUGAAGCUUGGUGCUUGCACCGAGCGGAUGAGUUGCGAACGGGUGAGUAACGCGUAGGUAACCUGCCUGGUAGCGGGGGAUAACUAUUGGAAACGAUAGCUAAUACCGCAUAAGAGUAUAUGUUGCAUGACACUUGCUUAAAAGGUGCACUUGCAUCACUACCAGAUGGACCUCCGUUGUAUUAGCUAGUUGGUGAGGUAACGGCUCACCAAGGCAACGAUACAUAGACGACCUGAGAGGGUGGUCGGCCAAACUGGGAAUGAGACACGGCCCAGACUCCUACGGGAGGCAGCAGUAGGGGAUCUUCGGAAAUGGACGGAAGUCUGACCCAGAGAAGCCGCGUGAGUGAAGAAGGGUUUCGGAUCGUAAAGCUCUGUUGUAAGAGGAGAAAGAGUAUGAGAGUGGAAAGUUCACAAUGUGACGGUAUCUUACCAGAAAGGGACGGCUAACUACGUG
RNAcentral lists this ribosomal RNA (497 nucleotides) under uncultured bacterium. Its description in RNAcentral is "partial 16S ribosomal RNA". It matches the Rfam family "Bacterial small subunit ribosomal RNA", at positions 28 to 507 of the family's 1533-position model. The record is from RNAcentral.